GACGAACGCUGGCGGCGUGCUUAACACAUGCAAGUCGAACGGAAAGGCCCUGCUUUUGUGGGGUGCUCGAGUGGCGAACGGGUGAGUAACACGUGAGUAACCUGCCCUUGACUUUGGGAUAACUUCAGGAAACUGGGGCUAAUACCGGAUAGGAGCUCCUGCUGCAUGGUGGGGGUUGGAAAGUUUCGGCGGUUGGGGAUGGACUCGCGGCUUAUCAGCUUGUUGGUGGGGUAGUGGCUUACCAAGGCUUUGACGGGUAGCCGGCCUGAGAGGGUGACCGGCCAAAUUGGGACUGAGAAAAGGCCCAGACUCCUACGGGAGGCAGCAGUGGGGAAUAUUGCACAAUGGGCGGAAGCCUGAUGCAGCAACGCCGCGUGCGGGAUGACGGCCUUCGGGUUGUAAACCGCUUUCGCCUGUGACGAAGCGUGAGUGACGGUAAUGGGUAAAGAAGCACCGGCUAACUACGUG
This 468-nucleotide ribosomal RNA is filed under the name uncultured bacterium. RNAcentral describes it as "partial 16S ribosomal RNA". It matches the Rfam family "Bacterial small subunit ribosomal RNA", at positions 28 to 507 of the family's 1533-position model. The record is from RNAcentral.